UACUUGAACUUGACUAUUUUUAUUUUUAUCAGGCUGAAGAUGGGCACACAAAUUAUCGGCGUGGAUGCAAAGUUUCCUCUCAAUAAAUGGAGUAACUGAGGUGCUCAGCGAGGGCUGUCCAUGCUCUAGGCCCAUGCCGCACAAGACGGGGGAAUGAAUGUUGCAGAACCUUGAGAGGAAAGCUUUUUGUUUGUCAUGCAAUGGAAUUUACCUGGGGGAAAAAAGAUGACUGGAAAGCUCUGCCUACAUUGUGCAUCUGUGCAUCAAAAAGAUCUAAUUCGGGGUGAAACCAAUGCAUGCGCUUGUUUCUCACGCCAAUGAGCCAAAACACGUCCAAGGGACAUCCCCACAAUGUGCUGUUGCCGAGACACACGUGCUGACAGGUAGCCAGGUAAGUCUCCCGGGCUCGCGGGCGUGGACUCCCAACUGCGUAUGGACCUCCCCUUGAUAGCAGCGGGGGUGGGGGGAAAGGAGUGUCUGCCUUAUUUCAUUACAUUUAUUACACCGCUACAUUUACAGUCUGGCUGCCUCUUCAGAGAUAAUUGAAAAAAGAAAUUCUGUGGCAGGAUGCUUUGAUUCCGACUAAAUCAAGUCUUCGGGCAAAUUUCCUCCUGCCAGUGGAAGCACAGCUUGCCUGAAGUCGUAACCUUUGUCGGAGGAAAGGAACUGGCCUUGAAGCAGAUCAGGAAGCAGAUGUUUUAUGCCAAAUCAGAGUCUGGGGAUACGCAGGCUACUGCAAAUAAACCUCUUCUUCUGUCUGUUCAAUCAUUUCA
Non-coding RNA from Vicugna pacos (alpaca), 773 nucleotides. The record is from RefSeq and is a predicted model, not a curated record. NCBI's taxonomy places the organism in Eukaryota, Metazoa, Chordata, Mammalia, Artiodactyla, Camelidae.